GCUGAUUUCUCAUGAAUAGGGGCACAAGAGAAUUUAAGAUUUCAUAAAGAAAGGUGGGAACGUGAAUAAGGAUCCUUAGAUCAAGCCUUUUGCUUCUUCUCCGUUGAUCAAUAAGUCGUGUUCACACUUGGUCUUCAUUUAGAGUGAUCUUUUAAUCUGAACCCUUGAUAUUUAAAUCGUGUUCAUACUUAAUUCUAUUUAUCUUUUAAUCUAUGCCCU
Molecule: long non-coding RNA, 219 nt
Filed under: Elaeis guineensis (African oil palm)
Lineage: Eukaryota; Viridiplantae; Streptophyta; Magnoliopsida; Arecales; Arecaceae
Description: long non-coding RNA (EGUI_LNC042965)
Source: RNAcentral